AGGACGAACGCUGGCGGCGUGCUUAACACAUGCAAGUCGAGCGGAAAGGCCCUUCGGGGUACUCGAGCGGCGAACGGGUGAGUAACACGUGAGUAAUCUGCCCAUCGCUUCAGGAUAGCCAUCGGAAACGGUGAUUAAUACUGGAUAUGACAUUCCUUCGCAUGUUGGGGUGUGGAAAGUUUUUUCGGCGGUGGAUGUGCUCGCGGCCUAUCAGCUUGUUGGUGGGUAAUGGCCUACCAAGGUCUUUGACGGGUAGCCGGCCUGAGAGGGUGACCGGCCACGACGUGGGACUGAGACACGGCCCAGACUCCUACGGGAGCAGCAGGUGGGAAUAGUGGACAAGUGGGCGAAGCCUGAUCCAGCAACGCCGCGUGGAGGAUGACGGUCCGUUCGGGUUACGUAACC
RNAcentral lists this ribosomal RNA (405 nucleotides) under uncultured soil bacterium. RNAcentral's name for it is "bacterial SSU rRNA". It matches the Rfam family "Bacterial small subunit ribosomal RNA", at positions 26 to 430 of the family's 1533-position model. The record is from RNAcentral.